GGCACAGUGGUAGAGUGGUUAAUACGUGAGACUCGAAUUGCCCGACAUCUCAUGCCUUCGGGCGCGUAGGUUCGAAUCCUGCCUGUGUCG
Molecule: non-coding RNA, 90 nt
Organism: Emmonsiellopsis sp. PD_5
Lineage: Eukaryota; Fungi; Ascomycota; Eurotiomycetes; Onygenales; Ajellomycetaceae
Source: the annotation of a GenBank genome assembly